UACGUAGGGGGCAAGCGUUGUCCGGAAUCAUUGGGCGUAAAGAGCGCGUAGGCGGCCCGGUAAGUCCGCUCUGAAAGUCCGGGGCUCAACCCCGGGAGGCGGGCGGAUACUGUCGGGCUAGAGUCCGGAAGAGGCGAGUGGAAUUCCUGGUGUAGCGGUGAAAUGCGCAGAUAUCAGGAGGAACACCGAUGGCGAAGGCAGCUCGCUGGGACGGUACUGACGCUGAGGCGCGAAAGCGUGGGGAGCAAACAGG
RNAcentral lists this ribosomal RNA (253 nucleotides) under uncultured bacterium. Its description in RNAcentral is "partial 16S ribosomal RNA". It matches the Rfam family "Bacterial small subunit ribosomal RNA", at positions 524 to 776 of the family's 1533-position model. The record is from RNAcentral.